Molecule: long non-coding RNA, 435 nt
Organism: Medicago truncatula (barrel medic)
Lineage: Eukaryota; Viridiplantae; Streptophyta; Magnoliopsida; Fabales; Fabaceae
Exons: 2
Source: RefSeq, a predicted model, not a curated record
UUUUCACAAAACUUUUGAGAGAGGUAGAGAGAAAGAGAAAGAACAACGGUAAGAGAGAGGAAGCUUGAGAGAAGAAGAAAAAGGUUUGAGAUUCAAGGGGUUGGAGCUGAAUUGAAGUUAAGGCUAGGAUUUGCUUGUUGUGAGACGGUGUGCAGGAGUAGUUGUUGAUUGCUUGGGGAGUGCUCAGAUAGCGGGAGCUAUCUCCGUUAUCGAUCUUUUGAGUCUUAAAGUAGGCUCUGAUCUAGGAUGUCUGUCUUUAUGAUUAUUCUAGAUUGAUUAUGCUGGAUUUAUGUUAUAGAGAUUUUGCCGAUAUGUCGGGAUUUGGAGAUUUUUAUGUAUCGCCAUAUUUGGAGUAAUAACAUGUAUACUUGGAGAUGUAUGAUUUAUAUCCGCUGCGCAGUUGUUUGAAUUUUAUGCAUGUUAUAUUCUGGUGAA